GGGGCUGAUCGGUUUCGACGGUGACCUGUUCGUCGCAGGGAAGCGUGCCGAGAACGCAGGGUCCGCUCGUGGAUGACCCCUGCACACCAAUAAGUGCCAAAUCCAAUCGCACUGAGUUCGCUCUCGCUGCCUGAUGCUUCGCGCUCGGGAUUAACCAGCGAGCAGCCGCUCCGUCCGCUUGACCUCGUCCUGGGGUGAAGAUCGGGCGUCGUUUUCAGGACUUGCUUGCGUAGCCGCGCCACAGGGCUGCGCCGGGACUUUUACUGUGGUCGUGCCCGCCGGCGGUUGUCUGCGACAGACCCGGGGGCAGGGAAAUAGCCGCAAGGCCAGCAGACUACGCACGUAGAAGACUGAGGGUACGGUCACCGGACCGGGGUUCAAUUCCCCGCAGCUCCACGG
RNAcentral lists this transfer-messenger RNA (399 nucleotides) under Bifidobacteriaceae. Its description in RNAcentral is "Bifidobacterium pullorum_C Standard tmRNA". It matches the Rfam family "transfer-messenger RNA". From Rfam's summary of the family: Bacterial tmRNA, also known as 10Sa RNA or SsrA, is named for its dual tRNA and mRNA-like properties. Its role is to liberate the mRNA from a stalled ribosome. To accomplish this part of the tmRNA is used as a reading frame that ends in a translation stop signal. Lineage: Bacteria; Bacillati; Actinomycetota; Actinomycetes; Bifidobacteriales. The record is from RNAcentral. RNAcentral also lists the same sequence under 1 other name.